GUAGCGAAUGGGAUUAGAUACCCCAGUAGUCCACGCCGUAAACGAUGCGCACUAGGUAUUGGGAGUUUCGACCCUCUCAGUGCCGUUUAAAAAAGCUAACGCGUUAAGUGCGCCGCCUGGGGAGUACGGCCGCAAGGUUAAAACUCAAAGGAAUAGACGGGGACCCGCACAAGCGGUGGAUCAUGUGGUUUAAUUCGAUGAUACGCGGCGAACCUUACCAAGGCUUGACAUAUAGCUGCACGCUCGGGGAAACUCGAGCAGCUUUCGAAGGUGCUAUACAGAUGUUGCAUGGUUGCCGUCAGCUCGUGCCGUGAGGUGUACCGUUAAGUCGGGUAACGAGCGCAACCCUCGUCGUAUGUUAUAUGUACAUGCGAGACUGCCCGGGCAACCGGGAGGAAGGUGGGGAUGACGUCAAAUCAGCAUGACUCUUACGCCUUGGGCUACACACAUGAUACAAUGGCCAGUACAAAGAGUAGCGAAAUCGCAAGAUGAAGCCAAUCUCAAAAAGCUGGUCUCAGUUCGGAUUGUAGGCUGCAAUUCGCCUACAUGAAGUUGGAAUCGCUAGUAAUCGCGCAUCAGCCACGGCGCGAUGAAUACGUUCUCGGGUCUUGUACUCACCGCCCGUCAUACCACGAAAGUUGAUAGUGCCCGAAGGCCCUGUAUGGGGACGAAGGUAAGAUCAGUGAUCAGGGUAAAGUCGUAACAAGGCAUCCGUAGCGGAAGCUGUGGAUG
Molecule: ribosomal RNA, 732 nt
Filed under: marine metagenome
Description: bacterial SSU rRNA
Rfam family: Bacterial small subunit ribosomal RNA
Source: RNAcentral